GAUGAGGAGUGACGGCGAUGACCCACGCAGGGCCCGUCUGGUGACCGCGAUCCAACUUCCUCUCGAUAGUCGCCGGAACAAGAUGGCUGCCCAUAAGAAGCCUGGCUGCUUCAUACUGAAAGUAGCAGUUGCUUUUCCAGCACUAUACAGCGUCGUGAAGCUCGUUGAGGUGAGAGGCGCAAGCUGCGGCAGGUAUUCUGGGGCGGGCUUUCUACAGGCAAGACCAGGAACAGGACUAUACUCUUGCUUCCGCUGCUGGUCUGAGUUGUCUUUUCAUUAUUACUGUGAAGACGCAUGAUUUUGUGAUGCGCCAUGAAUCGUAAUGCCUGCCAACCGCAGUUCGCAGCUCCUCCUGCUUCUGUUGCUCAAUCUAAAAAUCGUUCUCCUUCCCUCCCGGCGCUGUGCGCUGGCUGCAUGUUGCGAUGUUAGCGAACCGCCCUUCUUCCCGCUCUGGGUGCAGAGAGUUUUGCACAUUCGUUCACCUGACUCCUCCUCCAGAUUAAGGACUACCUAAAAGGACUGGUGCCGCGGAAGCCUCAGCCACCACCAAAGCCGCAACAACUUCAACAAGAGCAACAACUUCUUUUCAUUUGAGGCAUGGACACCAUCAAGGAGACUGUUCAGAAGGUGCGUGUAUAUAUGUACGUGCGCCAUCUGACCUGGGGAUAAAGUUAUGAAGUUUGGUUUUUCCCAUUUUAUUUCAUACAGAACUAACAAAGCGAGCCAAACAGCGCGACGCCUCGUUUACAUGUUUCGUUCUGUCUCUCUCUCUCGAGUGCUUCUUGAAGGUCCAGCUAGGAGACCUGAACACUACCGGACACCACUUUCGACCACCACCACCUGACGCCUCUCCUCUUCUCCUCAAGAGUCUUAUGUGAUUAAUACGAAUACCACCUUUUGGGCCUUCCUUUCUCUCUGCCAUCACCACAUCGACGAGCCUGUCUCUCAAGCAUAUCCAGCUGCCUGCCUGCCCUCUCACCACCCUCCUGCCUUCCCGGCCCCCCCACCCCCCCUUACCUCCCACCCACCCACCCCCCGACCCCCGCCAGGCCGGCCACCGCAUGGAGGAGGCCAUGACAAGUGCCACCCACACGGCGCAGGUGGGAGUGCUGUUGACUGCAGGGACGAGGUAGUAGCGGGGCUAGGGUAGCGGCCGCAUGAAAACAUGUAUGCACUUGACGAUGAUUGAUAAGCAUGCAUGCCAAGGCGCAUCUGGCUAUGCGCACGAAGUAGGGCACCAGCUGGUGCGAGGGAAUACAACCUGAGAGGACUGCCUCGCACUACCCCUAACAGCGCCUCACCUCGCCUCGCACCUCUUCACGCCGCUUUAGCAUCUCUGGUGUGCUGUUUCUAUCAGCACCUGCUGCUGCUGCUGCUGCUGCUGCCCCCCUGAUUCCUCGUUCGCUCGCACCGUGUGGGUUUUUACUCAUGUCUGCAUGUCCUCCGCCCAACAGGAGAUGGGCGACAAGAUAAAGGAGGGUACGAUGGGCACCAAGCACGAUGCGGACUCGGCGGUAAGUGUUUUGAUUUUUCUGUUCUGUAAGAAGCCAUUCACAAGGGCCCUCCAGAGCUGACGUUGGUUGAGAGGAGGGGAGGUUCAGCUGUGCUUGGCAGUCAUGCGAUGGCGGUACCACCAGAGACAUACUUGCUGAGAUCAUACGGCGUGUGUACCCGUGUAUGUGAUAUUUAUAAAAUAGAAAACCUUAUAUGAAUUCAUUUUCACGGCGAGUUUGUGUAUGUGCAGGCCACUCGGGCUGCGGACGCUGCUCAGGAGAACAUCCGCGAUGUGGGUCGGCCUGUGUGUGGUGUGUGUGUGUGGAGGGGAGUGGGGAAUGGCUGGGUGGGGUCAAGCUCCGGAAGGAGCACUUACGGCCUCGCUUGUCAAUGCAAUUAGAACUUUAUACAUUUACGGCCGUCGGUCCGUACGGUCGUCAUUUAAGCUUUGCGAAAACUAGUUGAGCAGGGGGUCUUCCCUUUUCUGUCUCUUUAAAGUGGUACCGUGCACUGCUAUGUCGUACGGUACCAAAGACCGAUUCAACCGGGCGCUUCAUGAAUGGAGCCACUCGCAUUCGUGCUGCUUCAUUCGAUAUCACACACUGAUAUGACACACGGCCGUACACGUCGUACAUGCUGUACAGGCUGGCCAUCGUGCGGACGAGGCGGCGGAGAAGGCCAAGCACGGCGUGGGUAUUCAUUCGUGAUGACGACAACGGCAACAACGAAGUUUCCUGUCGGAGAAGGGGGUCGCUGCGAAACCAGGCUCUGCGGGUGUUGGGAUUCAAGUCUUGGGUGAGCCUGGUGGAGGACUGGGGGGGGAACUGUCGUGUCUGUGGCGCUGCUACUCGGGAGGACAGCGCUGGAUGGCGGAGCGACGUAGCUGUCGUGUGUGUGCGUGUGCGCGGUGCGGUGUGUAUCCUGUCUUUAUUCUUCUGACUCCGGUGUUGCUGGAUUGCGGUGUUGAUGGUGCUGAAACGUUGAGACGGGAGUUGGGCCACUGGAAUAUGGACAGCUGGCUGCGCCGAUGAUGAUGAUUUGGUGGCGGUGUGUGUUGCUGGUACAGAAACAGCGUACUGUUGUAAAAGAAAUCACCGAUGAACGGAUCUCACAAUUCGCGAGUGAAGGAAGAGGAAGUGUACCAGACGGAAGGGCGGCACUGUCGUGUACUCGGAAAAAUGCAAAACGUACAAAGAAGAGUAUGGGAAGUAUAGCCUGAUUAAGCCACAUAUUUCGAGCCUGAUUACUGCAAUAGUAUUACGUUGUUGGGCUUUGAAGGCAAAACAGAUCAGGAAGUGGCAAGUACCACGUCCCCAGGGAGCAGCGGUUUUGCC
This 2828-nucleotide long non-coding RNA is filed under the name Volvox carteri. RNAcentral's name for it is "long non-coding RNA (VCAR_LNC003469)". The record is from RNAcentral. Lineage: Eukaryota; Viridiplantae; Chlorophyta; Chlorophyceae; Chlamydomonadales; Volvocaceae.